Molecule: ribosomal RNA, 984 nt
Filed under: Acmaeodera sp. BUP0133
Lineage: Eukaryota; Metazoa; Arthropoda; Insecta; Coleoptera; Buprestidae
Description: SSU rRNA
Rfam family: Eukaryotic small subunit ribosomal RNA
Source: RNAcentral
GCCGAGUUAAGGUGAAACCGCGAAAGGCUCAUUAAAUCAGUUAUGGUUCCUUAGANCGUANNNNCGUUUACUUGGAUAACUGUGGUAAUUCUAGAGCUAAUACAUGCAAACAGAGCUCCGACCUGAGAAGGGAGGAGCGCUUUUAUUAGAUCAAAACCAAUCGGCGUCGGGUCCGCCCCGUCGUCGUACCAACUGGUGAAUCUGAAUAACUUUCUGCUGAUCGCAUGGUCCCGCACCGGCGACGCAUCUUUCAAAUGUCUGCCUUAUCAACUGUCGAUGGUAGGUUCUGCGCCUACCAUGGUUGUAACGGGUAACGGGGAAUCAGGGUUCGAUUCCGGAGAGGGAGCCUGAGAAACGGCUACCACAUCCAAGGAAGGCAGCAGGCGCGCAAAUUACCCACUCCCGGCACGGGGAGGUAGUGACGAAAAAUAACGAUACGGGACUCAUCCGAGGCCCCGUAAUCGGAAUGAGUACAAUCUAAACCCUUUAACGAGGAUCAAUUGGAGGGCAAGUCUGGUGCCAGCAGCCGCGGUAAUUCCAGCUCCAAUAGCGUAUAUUAAAGUUGUUGCGGUUAAAAAGCUCGUAGUCGAAUUUGUGUCCCGCGCCGCCGGUUCAUCGCACGCGGUGUUUAACUGGCGUGUCCGCGGGACGUCCUGCCGGUGGGCUUAACUCGCGAGGGUGGCCCAACUCAAUCCCACCGCGGUGCUCUUCACUGAGUGUCGAGGUGGGCCGGCACGUUUACUUUGAACAAAUUAGAGUGCUCAAAGCAGGCUAGAACUUCGCCUGAAUACCGUGUGCAUGGAAUAAUGGAAUAGGACCUCGGUUCUAUUUUGUUGGUUUUCGGAACCCCGAGGUAAUGAUUAAUAGGAACGGAUGGGGGCAUUCGUAUUGCGACGUUAGAGGUGAAAUUCUUGGAUCGUCGCAAGACGAACAGAAGCGAAAGCAUUUGCCAAAAACGUUUUCAUUGAUCAAGAACGAAAGUUA